RNAcentral lists this long non-coding RNA (937 nucleotides) under Scophthalmus maximus (turbot). Its description in RNAcentral is "lncRNA (ENSSMAG00000031862.1)". The record is from RNAcentral. Lineage: Eukaryota; Metazoa; Chordata; Actinopteri; Pleuronectiformes; Scophthalmidae.
UGCGAGGUUGUGGUACUGUUAUUCUGGAGGGAAAAAAACAUCCACCUGCGGUUAAAUCAGGGGAAUGGCUCAGAUCACAAAUCUAAAGUCGUGUAUCCUUAUUACAUGCUGCUCCUCUCGACUCAUCUGGUGCUGGUGGAACAGCGGGGGGACGGGGGAUCCGCGGUGACACCCCUGCCUCCGUGUUGCAGGGCGCGCGUCCUCGCACGCACGCACGCCCCCUCUCCAAGCCCGAGCGGUGUGCGGCGCGGCGCGGUCCCGGACGGUGUGCAUUUCCCCACACGUCGACGACGAAUGAUGCACGGGUGAUUCGAAAGGCGGCGGCUUACCGGCAUGGGUGCCCGGUGUCUGAGGGAAUAGCCUAUAUGGAUUGGAGCUCAUCAUCGCCGGAGCAAAUCUGGGCACAGUCAGAGAGUGCUGUGGGAGAGGAUACUCCAUCCAAGAUCACAGGUCACAUGACAGAUUUGUGUAGCGAUGAAACAGACAACUCUCUUCCUCUUCAGCUUCACACUCUCAAGGAGUUUGAACAGAGGUCAGAUCAGAAAGUGUAGAGGAAAUCAGUGGUAUUUUGUCCAGAAAUCCACGAUGAUGAACGAAGCAUCAGUGCAAGGAGGAACACCCGCAGCAGAGGAUUUAGAUGGAAACCACCCUGAACCCUCCUGGUGGUUAAAGUCUGCCUCUGGCUACAGCUUGGCCUACUUUAGAUCUCUGUGGCACUAUUACUGCACAAUGUACCAGUUCUAUUUCACAGAAGUACUUAUAAAAUAUUAUUUUUGUUGUUUAAUGAAUAAAAUUGAAUGUAAUGGGCAGGCGUAAUAUAAAAGCAAAAUUUCAUCUAAAGCUAAAUUUGACAAUGUUGAAGUCUUGAAAAUGUGACUUUUGGUAAUAAUAAUUUAAUCAUAUAGGGUGAAUGGAAUAAAAAAAAUUGGGCUUAGCU